Molecule: ribosomal RNA, 385 nt
Filed under: uncultured Rhodoferax sp.
Lineage: Bacteria; Pseudomonadati; Pseudomonadota; Betaproteobacteria; Burkholderiales; Comamonadaceae
Description: bacterial SSU rRNA
Rfam family: Bacterial small subunit ribosomal RNA
Source: RNAcentral
CCCUUUAGAGAUAGAGGGUGCUCGAAAGAGAGCCGUAACACAGGUGCUGCAUGGCUGUCGUCAGCUCGUGUCGUGAGAUGUUGGGUUAAGUCCCGCAACGAGCGCAACCCUUGUCAUUAGUUGCUACAUUCAGUUGGGCACUCUAAUGAGACUGCCGGUGACAAGCCGGAGGAAGGUGGGGAUGACGUCAAGUCCUCAUGGCCCUUAUAGGUGGGGCUACACACGUCAUACAAUGGCUGGUACAAAGGGUUGCCAACCCGCGAGGGGGAGCCAAUCCCAUAAAGCCAGUCGUAGUCCGGAUCGUAGUCUGCAACUCGACUACGUGAAGUCGGAAUCGCUAGUAAUCGUGGAUCAGAAUGUCACGGUGAAUACGUUCCCGGGUCUU